AUGGCCGGUGGCGUCGACCGUCUAUCUGAUCUCCCCGACGAGCUCCUCCUGCGCGUUCUCCGCUUCGUCCCAGCCAAGAAGGCCGCCGCCACGGCCGCGCUCUCGCGGCGAUGGCGCUCGCCGCUCUGGCGCUCCUCCGGCGCCGUGAACCUCGAGACGUUCGUCGAGGGCUACGAGUACGACGAUGACUACAGCUCCCGGUACGUGCGAUACGAGCGCAAAGAAGCUGCAAAGGCCCUCUUCUUCUCCCGCCGCGACGCCUUCGUGUCCGCGGCCGUGGCGGCGCUCGACGCCGCCGACGUCCCCGUCACGAGGCUCACCCUGCGUCUCAAGUACAGCUACCUGGACUCUAUCUGGAUGUUCCUAGACCUGGACCCUGACAGGUACCGCGGGUUGCCGUCGCCGGACGGCCACGUGCUCGCCAGCCUGCUCUCCCACCAGGCGGCGCGCCGCGUGGAGGAGCUCCGCCUCGUCGACGUCGAAUACGAUGGCAGCCGCGGCCACACCCACGACCGCCAGGAAGGCGAGGUAGAUGUCACUCUCUCCGUUGGUGCUUUGGUGGGCGUCUUCGUGCUCAGCCUCGGCGCCCUGCCGUCCGAGAACCUCCGCCUGCUGGACCUCGCCAACUGCUGCGAACUCGUCCCGCCGCCGCCGGCCGCUGCCGUCGUGUUCCCGCGGCUCUCGUCGCUAAGGAUGCGCCGUUGUACCACGCGGCUCGACACGCUCCAAAGCCUCGUCGACGCCGCGCCGGCGCUCGCCACCGUCCGCCUGGAGUCCGUCGUCGUCGCCCAACAUGACCACCGAUGCCGGCCACUAAAAAAGCCCUGCUCCGCUUCCCAGCGGCCACCGUGCUCGUCCUGGAGAGGUAAGGCCGCAAUCGCCGCCGUCCCCGUGGAGAUCGACGCGCCGAGGCUGCGGCGCUUCAGGUACAAGGGGCUCCUCCGGCCAUUCUCCCUGAGCCCGCGGCCGCCGGACUUGGCACAUGCCGACCUGCAUUUCGUCCCGCGCGGCCGCGAUGAACGAGGGAACAAAAUCGAAAUUCUAGCCGGCAACAUAAUUUUCCAUGGCCGUGGCAACAAAACCGGCUCGCGCGACCUCGAGCCCUUGUGGCGAUUCCUUGGCAACUUCACCGGCGCCAAGGAGCUGAAGCUAAGCAUAAACCCCCCCGAGGACAUGGCCGUGCUCACCGAGGCGAGGCGGGCCGAGCUCCUGCCGGCGUUCUCCAUCCUCGAGCGCCUCGAGCUGAACGGAGUGCACCGGCCGAAAGGCAAGACGGCGGCGGUGGCCAUCGCCAACCUGCUCCGCUGCUGCCCCGCGCUCCGUGACCUCCGGAUCAACCUCACCGCGGAGCACCACUACCCAAACUAUCUGCACGACCAAGACCUCUUCCUGGAAAGCAAGUUCCGAGCCGACGGGGAAAAGUGCAUCCACCGGCUCGUCUUGCAAGUGCUCGUCUGCGCGGAUGCUUUGCCUUCGCCAGUGAUUCGAGUACCGUCGACUACCGACGUUUAA
Molecule: ribosomal RNA, 1512 nt
Filed under: Triticum aestivum (bread wheat)
Lineage: Eukaryota; Viridiplantae; Streptophyta; Magnoliopsida; Poales; Poaceae
Description: partial small subunit ribosomal RNA
Source: RNAcentral